GACGAACGCUGGCGGCGUGCUUAACACAUGCAAGUCGAACGGAAAGGCCCUGCUUUUGUGGGGUGCUCGAGUGGCGAACGGGUGAGUAACACGUGAGUAACCUGCCCUUGACUUUGUGAUAACUUCAGGAAACUGGGGCUAAUACCGGAUAGGAGCUCCUGCUGCAUGGUGGGGGUUGGAAAGUUUCGGCGGUUGGGGAUGGACUCGCGGCUUAUCAGCUUGUUGGUGGGGUAGUGGCCUACCAAGGCGUUGACGGGUAGCCGGCCUGAGAGGGGGACCGGCCCCAUGGGGAGUGGGCCAGCGUCAUGGGGCCUGAGGGAGGCAGCAGUGGGGAAGGGGGGACAAGGGGGGGAAGUAUGACACAGUGGGGGGGAGCGUGAGAAGAAGGGCCCCGGGGCGGAAAGACGUCUUUGGGGGGAGGAACGGCUGUCAGUUGAGACCGAGCGGGAUUGAGGGUAAGGGAAAAAGAAGCACCGGCUAACUACGUG
RNAcentral lists this ribosomal RNA (488 nucleotides) under uncultured bacterium. RNAcentral's name for it is "partial 16S ribosomal RNA". The stretch from base 20 to 332 matches the Rfam family "Bacterial small subunit ribosomal RNA", at positions 47 to 358 of the family's 1533-position model. The record is from RNAcentral.